RNAcentral lists this unclassified non-coding RNA (302 nucleotides) under fungal sp. RNAcentral describes it as "partial internal transcribed spacer region". The stretch from base 1 to 46 matches the Rfam family "Eukaryotic small subunit ribosomal RNA", at positions 1786 to 1831 of the family's 1831-position model. Lineage: Eukaryota; Fungi. The record is from RNAcentral.
AAGUCGUAACAAGGUUUCCGUAGGUGAACCUGCGGAAGGAUCAUUAAUGAAAGGAACGUUUGGCCCUUGGUCAGGCGCUCUGUUUAGGUCUCACACGGCUGGCUCUGCUUCGUUGGGUGUAAAGACUCAGUUCGAUUCCGAUGUUGCAUCUUGCCAUGUGUCCUACAAACCUCUGCGUGCACCGUAUAUAUGCAUUUGCGUAUUUUUCUGUUUGUUUGUCUGAUGUUUACAUUCUCUGAUUUUGGCUUUGCGCCGAAUGACUGAAAAUAAAACAACUUUUAACAAUGGAUCUCUUGGCUCUC